ACAUCGCCUCUUGAUUAAUUAUAAGAGGUCAAGCCUGCCCAGUGACAUUGUUCAACGGCCGCGGUAUCCUAACCGUGCGAAGGUAGCGUAAUCACUUGUCCUUUAAAUAAGGACUAGUAUGAACGGCUUCACGAAGGCUAUACUGUCUCCUUAAUCUAAUCAAUUAAACUAAUCUCCCCGUGAAGAAGCGGGGAUUCGUCUAUAAGACGAGAAGACCCUAUGGAGCUUUAAACAUCUAAAACACUUGAUUUUACCUACUAAACUUCAUGUAACCUAUCAUUUUGUUUUAAGUUUUAGGUUGGGGUGACCACGGAGAAAAAUUAAACCUCCACGUAGAAAGAAAAUUCUUUUCUAAGCAAAAAGCCACAUCUUAACGCAUCAACAUAUUGACUUAAAUUGACCCAAUUUCUUGCUCAACGAACCAAGUUACCCUAGGGAUAACAGCGCAAUCCGCUUUAAGAGCUCCUAUCGACAAGCGGGCUUACGACCUCGAUGUUGGAUCA
This 503-nucleotide ribosomal RNA is filed under the name Allobates femoralis (brilliant-thighed poison frog). Its description in RNAcentral is "partial 16S ribosomal RNA". It matches the Rfam family "Bacterial large subunit ribosomal RNA", at positions 1813 to 2539 of the family's 2925-position model. Lineage: Eukaryota; Metazoa; Chordata; Amphibia; Anura; Aromobatidae. The record is from RNAcentral.